This 253-nucleotide ribosomal RNA is filed under the name uncultured bacterium. Its description in RNAcentral is "partial 16S ribosomal RNA". It matches the Rfam family "Bacterial small subunit ribosomal RNA", at positions 524 to 776 of the family's 1533-position model. The record is from RNAcentral.
UACGGGGGGUGCGAGCGUUGUCCGGAAUCACUGGGCGUAAAGGGCGCGUAGGUGGUUUGAUAAGGGUGUGGUGAAAGUCCGGGGCUCAACCCCGGAUCUGCCGUGCCGACUGUCAAACUCGAGGGCUGUAGAGGCAGACGGAAUUCCGGGUGUAGCGGUGGAAUGCGUAGAUAUCGUAAGGAAGACCAGUGGCGAAGGCGGGUCUCUGGACAGUUCCUGACGCUGAGGCACGAAGGUCAGGGGAGCAAACGGG